UACUCUUUGGUUUCAGGGAGCUGGAAGUGUAAUUCAGUGGUAGACAGCUUGCCUGGCAUGUGCAAGGCCCUGGGUUCAGGCUCCCAUACCACAAAAAAGCA
This 101-nucleotide microRNA precursor is filed under the name Cavia porcellus (domestic guinea pig). RNAcentral describes it as "miRNA (ENSCPOG00000029040.2)". Lineage: Eukaryota; Metazoa; Chordata; Mammalia; Rodentia; Caviidae. The record is from RNAcentral.